This 253-nucleotide ribosomal RNA is filed under the name uncultured bacterium. Its description in RNAcentral is "partial 16S ribosomal RNA". It matches the Rfam family "Bacterial small subunit ribosomal RNA", at positions 524 to 776 of the family's 1533-position model. The record is from RNAcentral.
UACGUAGGGGGCAAGCGUUGUCCGGAAUCAUUGGGCGUAAAGAGCGUGUAGGCGGCCUGGUAAGUCCGCUGUGAAAGUCCAGGGCUCAACCCUGGAAUGCCGGUGGAAACUGUCGGGCUAGAGUCCGGAAGAGGCGAGUGGAAUUCCGCGUGUAGCAGUGAAAUGCGUAGAGAUGCGGAGGAACACCGAUGGCGAAGGCAGCCCCCUGGGCUAACACUGACGCUGAGGCACGAAAGCGUGGGGAGCAAACAGG